This 504-nucleotide ribosomal RNA is filed under the name uncultured bacterium. RNAcentral's name for it is "partial 16S ribosomal RNA". It matches the Rfam family "Bacterial small subunit ribosomal RNA", at positions 28 to 523 of the family's 1533-position model. The record is from RNAcentral.
GACGAACGCUGGCGGCAGGCCUAACACAUGCAAGUCGAACGGUAGCACAGAGAGCUUGCUCUCGGGUGACGAGUGGCGGACGGGUGAGUAAUGUCUGGGAAACUGCCCGAUGGAGGGGGAUAACUACUGGAAACGGUAGCUAAUACCGCAUAACGUCGCAAGACCAAGGUGGGGGACCUUCGGGCCUCACACCAUCGGAUGUGCCCAGAUGGGAUUAGCUAGUAGGUGGGGUAAUGGCUCACCUAGGCGACGAUCCCUAGCUGGUCUGAGAGGAUGACCAGCCACACUGGAACUGAGACAAGGGCCAGACUCCUACGGGAGGCAGCAGUGGGGAAUAUUGCACAAUGGGCGCAAGCCUGAUGCAGCCAUGCCGCGUGUAUGAAGAAGGCCUUCGGGUUGUAAAGUACUUUCAGCGGGGAGGAAGGCGGUGGAGUUAAUAACUUCACCGAUUGACGUUACCCGCAGAAGAAGCACCGGCUAACUCCGUGCCAGCAGCCGCCGUAA